CAAUAGCGUAUAUUAAAGUUGUUGCGGUUAAAAAGCUCGUAGUUGGAUUUCUGCUGAGGACGACCGGUCCGCCCUCCGGGUGAGCAUCUGGUUCGGCCUUGGCAUCUUCUUGGUGAACGUAUCUGCACUUGACUGUGUGGUGCGGUACCCAGGACUUUUAGCUUGAUGGAAAUUAUGAGGUAUGUUUCAAGCUAAGGCAGUACGCCUUGAAUACAUUAGCAUGGAAUAAUAAGAUAGGACCUCGGUUCUAUUUUGUUGGUUCUAGAGCUGAGGUAAUGAUUAAUAGGGAUAGUUGGGGGCAUUCGUAUUUAACUGUCAGAGGUGAAAUUCUUGGAUUUGUUAAAGACGGACAAUUGCGAAAGCAUUUGCCAAGGAUGUUUUCAUUGAUCAAGAAC
This 395-nucleotide ribosomal RNA is filed under the name uncultured eukaryote. Its description in RNAcentral is "SSU rRNA". It matches the Rfam family "Eukaryotic small subunit ribosomal RNA", at positions 592 to 984 of the family's 1831-position model. The record is from RNAcentral.